Molecule: long non-coding RNA, 955 nt
Organism: Coturnix japonica (Japanese quail)
Lineage: Eukaryota; Metazoa; Chordata; Aves; Galliformes; Phasianidae
Source: RefSeq, a predicted model, not a curated record
AUUCUUCUAUUUGCUGUGCAACAAUAGGUUCUUAUAUAUUUAACUGUUGCAUUGUUUUCCUACCACUUCCAUCCUCUGUUCACAUUUAUUCUGAUAUUUUUCACAUCACUAGAAUGCACCAGAGUCACAGAGUUUUUGUGAGGAAAAGUUAAAGUGUAUUUAUACCCAAACUCAAGCUCGGCUUAUCUGGAAUUGAUUCAGUGCAAGAGAGGAUUAACAGCUUGUAAGUAGUAUUUAUCUAUCAUUUAUUUCACUAAGUACACCAUUCACAGCAAUUUGUUUCUCUUUUUUCUCUUUUUUUCCCCUCCAUGUUAGACUGCAUGGAUUUAAACUCAAGGAAGCUUUAACAAGGAAAGGAGUCCAUGAAUGACGCUUAUAGCAAAGGCUCUGACCAUUUACCUCAGACAAAAUAAUUCUUAAGAACAGAGAGAAACUCCGGAGCGUGACAAAAUCACAAAAUUGUUCUGAGUAAGACAGACUCUGCACAGCAGGAGGACAGAUCACCUUCUUCAGCCCAGCCAUGUACUGCUUAUGUACUGCAUAUCUAAAGUGCUUUCUGGAUUGUUUCGGGUUUUUUUUACACACAGCUGAGACCGGAUACAAGACAGGAGGUGCACAGAAGUACAGAAACCAAAAAGAAUAUUAAGGAAUUCACCCUUAACAGCUCACUAACCCUGCCAGACACAAACAAUUUACAAUGCAGUGAUUCAGAAAACAAGGAAUUAGAGCAGAGAGUCACUAAAAUGAUGUUUCACGAAAAACUAAAAGAUAAUAUAUGUUUUAAGUACAGUUUUGUGUUAAAUCUAUUUAACAUCACUACACAGGGUUACUUAUAUACAUUUCCUCCAUAUUUAAGCAGUGUUUAAAGUGUUUUGGCACAUAUCAUGAUUAACUAUGGUUAAAAAACAACAAUAUAAUUUGGAAGGAAAAGAAAUACUCUAGAAAAAAAUCCUAU